This 2055-nucleotide ribosomal RNA is filed under the name terrestrial metagenome. RNAcentral's name for it is "bacterial LSU rRNA". It matches the Rfam family "Bacterial large subunit ribosomal RNA", at positions 74 to 1973 of the family's 2925-position model. The record is from RNAcentral.
AGCUUCGGAGAGGCGCAAGCGGCCUAUGACCCGGAGAUACCCGAAUGGGGCAACCCGUCCUGGAGGACCCAGGACACCUGCAUAAAGCGGGGGGCACCCGGGGAAGUGAAACAUCUCAGUACCCGGAGGAAGAGAAAUCAAGAGAGAUUCCCUGAGUAGUGGUGAGCGAAAGGGGAAGAGCCCAAACCUGACGGACGUGAGAGGCUGCGGCCGUUGUCUGUUGGGGGUUGAGGGGCAUGCUGAGGGUGUCCGCAGGCACCCGCUGGAUUCGCGCAUUGUAGUUGAAGCGUGUUGGGAAAGCGCACCGUAGAGGGUGAUAGUCCCGUAGGCGAAACGAUACGCGAAUUUGGUGGGCAUGACCCCGAGUAGGCCGGAGCACGUGGAAUUCCGGCUGAAUCAGGGUGGACCGCCAUCCAAGGCUAAAUACCGUUGGUAACCGAUAGCGCAACAGUACCGAGAGGGAAAGGUGAAAAGCACCCCUGGCGGGGAGUGAAAAAGACCUGAAACCGUGCGCCUACAAGCGAUCGGAGUCCGGCACUCAGCCUUUUGCAUCAGCUGGUAGACAUGAUUUUUGUAGAUGCGAGUGUGGGGAUGUUAAUGCAUCGAGGCUAAUGCGAGAAGCUGAGUGCCGGAUGACGGUGUGCCUAUUGAAGAAUGAGCCGGCGAGUUACUAUUUGUGGCGAGGUUAAGGUCUUUAAGGACUGGAGCCGCAGGGAAACCGAGUCUUAAGAGGGCGGAUAGUCGCGAGUAGUAGACCCGAAGCCGUACGAUCUAUCCAUGGGCAGGUUGAAGUCCGGGUGAAACCGGAUGGAGGACCGAACCAGUCAGUGUUGAAAAACUGUUGGAUGACCUGUGGAUAGGAGUGAAAAGCUAAUCGAGUACGGUGAUAGCUGGUUCUCCCCGAAAUGCAUUUAGGUGCAGCCUUGUGUAUGAGAGUGACGGGGGUAGAGCACUGGAUGGACGAGGGGGACUGGGGUCCUACCGAAUUCAACCAAACUCCGAAUACCGUUACUUGCUACACGGGAGUGAGACUACGGGUGAGAAGGUUCGUAGUCGAGAGGGAAACAGCCCAGACCGACAGCUAAGGUCCCCAAGCCCGCGCUGAGUGUUACAAGGAUGUGGGGGAGCCUGGACAGCCAGGAGGUUGGCUUAGAAGCAGCCAUCCUUGAAAGAGUGCGUAACAGCUCACUGGUCGAGCGCCCCUGCGCCGAAAAUGUGGGGGGCUAAGCGCGGCGCCGAAGCUUCGGAUAUACGUAAUUCAGGUUACGUACAUGGUAGGGGAGCGUUCCGUACGGGGUGAAGUUUACCCGCGAGGGUAGGUGGACUGUACGGAAGCGAGAAUGCCGGCAUGAGUAGCGAAAAACGUGUGAGAACCACGUUCACCGGAAGCCCAAGGUUUCCUGGGGAAGGCUGAUCCACCCAGGGUAAGGCGGGACCUAAGGCGAGGCCGCGAGGCGUAGUCGAUGGACAGCAGGUUGAAAUUCCUGCCCCGCCCUGACGACGCAUGGACCGAAGGGGUGACGCGGGAGGCUAGGUGCGCCGGGUGCUGGAAUACCCGGUCCAAGGAAGUAGGGGGAGGAACCAGGGAAAGCCGGAUCCUCGUAGACCCUGAGAUCUGAUGGGGAGCCCCUUAAAGGGGCGAAGGCAUUGACGCCCGACCGCCGAGAAAAGCCUCUAGGGAGGAGUCGGGGCGCCCGUACCCGAAACCGACACAGGUGGGCUGGCUGAGCAGGCCAAGGUGGACGAGAGAACCCUCGCUAAGGAACUCUGCAAGUUGACCCCGUAACUUCGGGAGAAGGGGUGCCCCUGGAGGUGAGGCGUACAUGACGAUGCCGAGCUUUUGGGGGUCGCAGAAACCAGGCCCAGGCGACUGUUUACUAAAAACACAGGACUCUGCUGAAGGCGCAAGCCGACGUAUAGGGUCUGACACCUGCCCGGUGCUGGAAGGUUAAGGGGAGAGGUUAUUGGUCUUACGGGACCGAGAAGCUUUGAACCGAAGCCCCAGUAAACGGCGGCCGUAACUAUAACGGUCCUAAGGUAGCGAAAUUCCUUGUC